Molecule: ribosomal RNA, 253 nt
Filed under: uncultured bacterium
Lineage: Bacteria
Description: partial 16S ribosomal RNA
Rfam family: Bacterial small subunit ribosomal RNA
Source: RNAcentral
UACGAAGGGGGCUAGCGUUGCUCGGAAUUACUGGGCGUAAAGGGCGCGUAGGCGGCACUGUUAGUCAGGCGUGAAAGUCCUGGGCUCAACCUGGGAACUGCGCUUGAUACGGCAGAGCUAGAGGAUGGAAGAGGGUCGCGGAAUUCCCAGUGUAGAGGUGAAAUUCGUAGAUAUCGGGAGGAACACCAGUGGCGAAGGCGGCGAUCUGGGCUGAUACUGACGCUGAGGCACGAAAGCGUGGGGAGCAAACAGG